Molecule: ribosomal RNA, 464 nt
Filed under: uncultured bacterium
Lineage: Bacteria
Description: partial 16S ribosomal RNA
Rfam family: Bacterial small subunit ribosomal RNA
Source: RNAcentral
GACGAACGCUGGCGGCGUGCUUAACACAUGCAAGUCGAACGGAAAGGCCCCUUUGGGGGUGCUCGCGUGGGGAACGGGUGGGUAACACGUGCGUAACCUGCCCUUGACUUAGGGAUAGCUUCAGGAAACUGGGGCUAAUACAGGCUAGGAAUCCUUGCUGCAUGGUGGGGGUUGGAAGGAUUCGGCGGUUUUGGAUGGACUCGCGGCUUAUCAGCUUGUUGGUGGGGUAGUGGCUUACCAAGGCUUUGUCGGGUAGCCGGCCUGAGAGGGAGACCGGCCACAUUGGGACUGAGAUACGGCCCAGACUCCUACGGGAGGCAGCAGUGGGGAAUAUUGCACAAUGGGCGGAAGCCUGAUGCAGCAACGCCGCGUGCGGGAUGACGGCCUUCGGGUUGUAAACCGCUUUCAGCAGGGGCGAAGCUUUUGUGACGGUACCUGCAGAAGAAGCACCGGCUAACUACGUG